RNAcentral lists this long non-coding RNA (1011 nucleotides) under Trifolium pratense (red clover). Its description in RNAcentral is "long non-coding RNA (TPRA_LNC006328)". Lineage: Eukaryota; Viridiplantae; Streptophyta; Magnoliopsida; Fabales; Fabaceae. The record is from RNAcentral.
UCAAGAUAGGUGAGAUCUUUGGUGUGAUUAAAAAACCAAUUUGGUAACUGAGAGGUGAUGUUGUUUCGAGAAAGAUCAAGAGUUAGAAGUGAAGACAAAUUCGAAUAUUGAAUAGAUGGGUUGAUGAUGAAGUUGUUCAGUUUACAAUAACGCAACUGUAACUCAAAUAGUGAAGGAAGUGUAUUAACAGCUUGAAGCCAAUUGGUUACCUUAUGAAGAUCAAUUCCACUAAGGUUGAGAUAUUUCAAUGAAGAAAGUAUAGAAAGCCAAUCAAGAUUAUCCAUCUGAAGAAUACCAUAGUAGUAAGAGGAUAAGUCAAGGUAGAAAAGGUUAGAUGCAUGUGUGAUGUUGUGUUGAAUGGUUGUAAAACUUAUCACAUCAAAAUCAUUCUUACUCAAAUCCAAGUAACUGAGAAACUCAAGUUCUAGAAUACACAUAUUGAAUUCACCUGUCAAAGUUCUGUAAGGUGGAUCUAAGUUGAGAUCGAGUUUUGUAACUCUGUUGGUUAUGUUGUCACAGGAGACUCCUUUCCAUGCACAACAAUCUUUUUCGGUUGACCAUGUUGAUAUCAGACCAUAACUAUCAUUGAUUCCCUUUUUAAAGAUUGAUAAUGUCUCUUUAUCUUUCUCAUUGCAUCGAACCAAUUUGUGAUCAUUGAUUGACAUGCAUUUGUGAAAUGUGGUUAAAGAUAAAAGUAGAAGCAAAAGAAGUGGCANNNNNNNNNNNNNNNNNNNNNNNNNNNNNNNUGGAUCAAAGAAAUACGAUCGAAUUGAAAUGGGAGUAUAAUUUUUUAGGAGAUUCUAGUGUGGUUAUAUAAAUUGGAAAACUUGGAAGUUUGAAUUACGUGAUAAGAAAGUAUGUGAACAAUAGUUUAACCAUAUCAGCUUCACAGCUUGGUUUGUGGAAGUUUCAAAAUUGGACAAAAGCAGAGAACUGAUUGUUCGAAAGACUUUGAAAAAAAAUGAAGACUUAGAAUUAUAUAAUUUCUAUGAACCACAUGUUUUAAACUUG